This 536-nucleotide ribosomal RNA is filed under the name uncultured bacterium. RNAcentral describes it as "bacterial SSU rRNA". It matches the Rfam family "Bacterial small subunit ribosomal RNA", at positions 777 to 1306 of the family's 1533-position model. The record is from RNAcentral.
ACAAUAGACUACCCAGGUAGUCCACGCCCUAAACGAUGCGAACUGGAUGUUGGGUACAUUACGGUACUCAGUGUCGAAGCUAACGCGUUAAGUUCGCCGCCUGGGGAGUACGGUCGCAAGACUGAAACUCAAAGGAAUUGACGGGGGCCCGCACAAGCGGUGGAGUAUGUGGUUUAAUUCGAUGCAACGCGAAGAACCUUACCUGGCCUUGACAUCUGUCGAAUCCUGCAGAGAUGCGGGAGUGCCGCAAGGAACGACAAGACAGGUGCUGCAUGGCUGUCGUCAGCUCGUGUCGUGAGAUGUUGGGUUAAGUCCCGCAACGAGCGCAACCCUUGUCCUUAGUUGCCAGCACGUAAUGGUGGGAACUCUAAGGAGACUGCCGGUGACAAACCGGAGGAAGGUGGGGAUGACGUCAAGUCCUCAUGGCCCCUUACGGGCCAGGGCUACACACGUACUACAAUGGUCGGUACAGAGGGUUGCGAAGCCGCGAGGUGGAGCCAAUCCCAGAAAGCCGAUCCCAGUCCGGAUUGGAGUCU